UAGUCCACGCUGUAAACGAUGAGUGUUAGGUGUCUGGGAGAACCUGGGGUGCCACAGCAAACGCAAUAAACACUCCGCCUGGGGAGUACGCACGCAAGUGUGAAACUCAAAGGAAUUGACGGGGACCCGCACAAGUAGCGGAGCAUGUGGUUUAAUUCGAAGCAACGCGAAGAACCUUACCUAAGCUUGACAUCCCUCGGACCGGUAGUUAAUCCUACCUUCCCUUCGGGGCUGAGGUGAC
Molecule: ribosomal RNA, 241 nt
Filed under: uncultured bacterium
Lineage: Bacteria
Description: partial 16S ribosomal RNA
Rfam family: Bacterial small subunit ribosomal RNA
Source: RNAcentral